RNAcentral lists this long non-coding RNA (2062 nucleotides) under Homo sapiens (human). Its description in RNAcentral is "HSALNT0379796". Lineage: Eukaryota; Metazoa; Chordata; Mammalia; Primates; Hominidae. The record is from RNAcentral.
AGAGGCGUCAGGAUCCCUGGCGCCGCCUGAGCCAGCGGCUGCUAGGAGGCUGUGUCCGCAAGCCAGCGGGGCGAGGCGGCUGGGCCCUGCGCGUCAGGUCCCGGCCUGGGGCACCGGGGCUGCCAGCGUCGGAGGAGGCCUGAGAACUGGGAGGAAGCUGGAGAAAAGAUGCCCUCUGAAUCUUUGUGUUUGGCUGCCCAGGCUCGCCUUGACACCGAAUGGUUGAAAACAGAUAUACAGAUGAUAGUGUCGAACCAAGUGGAACAAAGAAAGAAGAUCUGAAUGACAAAGAGAAAAAAGAUGAAGACGAAACUCCUGCACCUGUAUAUAGGGCCAAGUCAAUUCUGGAGACCUGGGUGUGGGUCAAGCAACCAGUCUUGCUCUGUUGCCAGGCUGGAGUACAGUGGCACAAUCUCGGCUCACUGUCACAAUGUCCGCCUCCAUGGUUCAAGCGAUUCUCCUGCCUCAGCCUCCCUAAUAGCUAGGAAUACAGGCGCAUGACACCACGCCCGGCUCAUUUCUUUUUGUAUUUUUAGUAGAGACGAGAUUUCACCAUGUUGGCCAGGCUGGUUUUGAACUCCAGACCUUGUGAUCCGCCCGCCUCUGCCUCCCAAAGUGCUAGGAUUAGAGGCGUGAGCCACCGCGCCUGGCCUGCAAUUUUCAUCUUUUGGCUGCAAAUAAGUUAUGUCACUAUUCUCAGCUGGGGGAGUGUUUAACUCACAUGUUGCUUCCUCUCUGUUAGACAGGUUUUAAGAUUUAUGAAUAGGUACUGAAUUGUAUCAAUUGCUUUUUUCUUUCUUGAUUGAGCAAUGUUUUUUCUUAUCUUUUUAUGUUGAUAAGGUAACUUAACAGUGAUUGGCUUUUGAAUGUUGAACAUUGCAUUUCUGGAAUUAAAUCAACUUUGUUGUGAUAAAUGAUUAAUACCAUAUUAUGUAUGGUUGAGAUGGGCUUGCUCCUAGUUCAUUUGGUAGUUUUGUACUUAUGUUCACAAGAGAAAGUGGAGUCUAAUUUUUUUUUUUCUGGUGAUUUUUGUUCGUUUGUUUGUUUGUUUGUUUGUUUGUUUUUGCCAUGGAGUCUGGCUCUGUUAUCCAGGCUGGAAUGCAGUGGCGUGAUCUCAACUCAUUGCAAGCUCCACCUUCUGGGUUCAUGCCAUUCUCCUGCUUCAGCCUCCUGAGUAGCUGGGACUACAGGCGCCCAACACCACACCUGGCUAAUUUAUUGUAUUUUUUAGUAGAGACGGGGUUUCACCUUGUUAGCCAGGAUGGUCUCGAUCUCCUGACCUCGUGAUCCACCCGCCUCGGCCUCCCAAAGUGCUGGGAUUACAGGCUUGAGCCACCACGCCCAGACUUGUGAGGUUUUAAUAUGAAGUAUUAAAGCUAUGCUGGUUAGACAAUUUGGAAAAUGUUUCUUCUCCUAUUUCUGACAGAGUUUAUGUAAGAUGUGUGCUAUUUCUUCCUUAAGCAUUUGGAAAGAAUUCACUUAUUAAGCCAUGUGAGACUGUAGUUUUCUUUAUAAGGUGUUUAACUACAGGUUCAAUUACAUAUAUAUAAAUAUUCAUUUUGGUAACCUGUGUUUGCUGAAUCAAUUUGUUCAUUUUAUCGAAAAUUUCAAAGUUAUUCUAUUAUUCAUUUAUCUUUUUAAUACUUAUAAAGUCUCCGGUUAGAGUUUGUGCCUUUUGUCUGUUUUGUUAAUCAAUCUUGCUGGAGGCCAUCAAUUUUAUUAGUGUUUCAAAAAAGCAAACUUUGAUUUUAUUCAUCCCUUUACCAUACUGAAAAUGUUUUGCUUAAUUUCCAAACUUAUAGUUCCACUGUGAUUAAAUAUUUGUAUAACUAAAACUCUGUGGAAUUUGUGUCUUCUCAAUGAUUGAAAAUAUGAUUAAUUUUUAUAAAUAUUGCUUCUGCACUUGAAAAGGAUAUGUAUUCUGCAUGUUGAGCGUAGUGUACCACGUAUCUCAGUUAGGUCCAGUGUGUUAAAUGCAUCCUUUAAAGAUUCUAUGUGCUUACUGAUGUUUGUUUAUUUUUCAGUGGCUGAGACACAGAUAUUAAAGUUUCCCACAAUGAUC